RNAcentral lists this unclassified non-coding RNA (249 nucleotides) under uncultured Eurotiales. RNAcentral's name for it is "sequence contains 5.8S rRNA gene, ITS2, 28S rRNA gene". The record is from RNAcentral. Lineage: Eukaryota; Fungi; Ascomycota; Eurotiomycetes; Eurotiales.
AACGCACAUUGCGCCCCCUGGCAUUCCGGGGGGCAUGCCUGUCCGAGCGUCAUUUCUGCCCUCAAGCACGGCUUGUGUGUUGGGUGUGGUCCCCCCGGGGACCUGCCCGAAAGGCAGCGGCGACGUCCGUCUGGUCCUCGAGCGUAUGGGGCUCUGUCACUCGCUCGGGAAGGACCUGCGGGGGUUGGUCACCACCAUGUUUUACCACGGUUGACCUCGGAUCAGGUAGGAGUUACCCGCUGAACUUAA